This 2017-nucleotide unclassified non-coding RNA is filed under the name Daphnia magna. Its description in RNAcentral is "bone morphogenetic protein receptor type-1B, transcript variant X1". Lineage: Eukaryota; Metazoa; Arthropoda; Branchiopoda; Diplostraca; Daphniidae. The record is from RNAcentral.
UUUCCUUUUCUUUAAGAAAGAUGCUGCCGCCGCCAUAGUCCGAUAGAUUUCUUUUUGCUGGUCUGCGGUGGAAGUGCUGCAAAAUGGCUGACAUAUUAAAAAUAUACACAAGAUAUCGAAGUUGUUUAUGGAUUCUACUGUUGACCUUAAGUGUCAAAUACGCAAAUGGACUCACAUGUUACUGUCAAGGACAUUGUCCUUAUGACAAUUUCAAUGGCACAUGUGAAGCUAGACCUUUUAGCCAGUGUUUUGCUGCAGUAGAAGAGGUUUACAAUCCAGACACAGGUUUACCAGAACCUGAAUACACAUAUGGCUGUUUGCCACCUGAAGAAAAGGGUCUCAUGCAGUGCAAGGGGCACCUUGUUCCACAUCUAGUACCCAAAUCUAUACAAUGUUGCCACGAGUCAGAUCAUUGUAACCGAUUGCUGUCACCAAUGUACGAAAUUCGGAGUACUACUCCGGAUCCUAAUUCAGGCUUUGGAUCUGAUCAAAAUGUUCACUACUUGGCCUUGCUAGUUUCUGGAACAGCCAGCGUGAUCAUUCUCUUUGUUAUGGUUGUAUGUGUUUAUGUUCAUUACAAAAGGAAAGAGGAUAAGCGACAAGUUUCUAUCAUUAAAGCCCCUUGUGCACCCUACCUUGGAGGAAAUUCAACAAUCAAAGAUAUGGUGGAUCACAGCCAAAGUUCUGGAUCAGGUUCUGGGUUACCUUUACUGGUUCAAAGAACAAUUGCAAAGCAACUGGUUAUGGGCCAUUCUAUUGGUAAAGGACGCUACGGUGAAGUGUGGAUGGCCAAAUGGCGGGAAGAAAAAGUUGCUGUCAAAGUGUUCUUCACGACGGAAGAAGCUUCUUGGUUUAGGGAAACAGACAUUUAUCAGACUGUACUCAUGAGGCAUUCACACAUUCUCGGUUUUAUUGCUGCCGACAUUAAAGGAACGGGCUCGUGGACUCAAAUGCUUCUUAUUACCGACUAUCACGAGCUUGGAUCUUUGCAUGACUUUUUGCAGCAAUAUGCGCCUGACGGGGUAGCGGCUGGAAGAUUAGCUUUUACUGCCGCUAGUGGCCUGGCACAUCUGCACACGGAAAUUUUCGGCACUAGAGGGAAACCAGCCAUUGCCCAUCGAGAUAUCAAGAGUAAGAAUAUCUUGGUAAAAAGAGAUUGGACUUGCGCCAUAGCCGAUUUUGGCUUGGCUGUCAGAUACAUCAGUGAGUCCCAAGAAAUUGAUAUUGCACCCAACACACGCGUUGGAACUCGUCGCUAUAUGGCUCCUGAAGUAUUGGAUGAAAGCCUUAACAAGUUUGCCUUCGAAGCCUUUAAGGCUGCAGACAUAUAUUCCUUUGGUCUGGUCUUGUGGGAAAUCGCUCGACGAUGUAAUACGGCCUCCAGCACAAUCAGCGAAAUCAUUACAGACGAGAGCCAAGAGAAAUUGGUCACCUACGGUCCUGAUGACUACCAGCAACCGUAUUACGAUUGCGUUCCAUCUGAUCCGUCAUUCGACGACAUGUACAAUGUGGUGUGUGUAAAGAAAGUAAGACCGGAUAUUCAACCACACUGGCUCGCUGAAGAGCCCCUCAAAACACUAGCUCAAGUAAUGCAAGAAUGUUGGCACCAGAAUCCGGCCGCCCGUUUGACGGCUCUACGCGUUAAAAAAUCUCUGACCCGCAUUAACGACGAAUCUGACAUGUAUAUGUACACCGAAAAAUACAACGACAAAGAAUUGUUACCAUCCGUUUGAUGCUCGGAUGGUCAGCACAUGAGUUUGAAUCUAAUAUGACCAAGGGAUGGUGUUUUUAUCUUACUGGAAACGUUUCUCAAUAUCCAUUUUUUCUGAUAUUGCUCCAUUGCAACUGCCGUGCCAUUAAUACUUGUUGCCUCAAGCCUGAAACGGAUCCAAACAAAAAUUGUUGAUGUCUUAACCAAACAAGCGUCUUCUCCAGCUCAUUUUAUUACUCUCCAAUUGCUUCUCGAAAUCGUUUUAUUGGCCUUAAACGUGUAAAUACAAUGAACUGAAUCAACGUA